RNAcentral lists this ribosomal RNA (484 nucleotides) under uncultured bacterium. RNAcentral describes it as "partial 16S ribosomal RNA". It matches the Rfam family "Bacterial small subunit ribosomal RNA", at positions 30 to 507 of the family's 1533-position model. The record is from RNAcentral.
AUUGAACGCUGGCGGCAGGCCUAACACAUGCAAGUCGAGCGGAUGAAGGGAGCUUGCUCCUGGAUUCAGCGGCGGACGGGUGAGUAAUGCCUAGGAAUCUGCCUGGUAGUGGGGGAUAACGUCCGGAAACGGGCGCUAAUACCGCAUACGUCCUGAGGGAGAAAGUGGGGGAUCUUCGGACCUCACGCUAUCAGAUGAGCCUAGGUCGGAUUAGCUAGUUGGUGGGGUAAAGGCCUACCAAGGCGACGAUCCGUAACUGGUCUGAGAGGAUGAUCAGUCACACUGGAACUGAGACACGGUCCAGACUCCUACGGGAGGCAGCAGUGGGGAAUAUUGGACAAUGGGCAAAAGCCUGAUCCAGCCAUGCCGCGUGUGUGAAGAAGGUCUUCGGAUUGUAAAGCACUUUAAGUUGGGAGGAAGGGCAGUAAGUUAAUACCUUGCUGUUUUGACGUUACCAACAGGAUAAGCACCGGCUAACUUCGUG